RNAcentral lists this ribosomal RNA (495 nucleotides) under uncultured bacterium. Its description in RNAcentral is "partial 16S ribosomal RNA". It matches the Rfam family "Bacterial small subunit ribosomal RNA", at positions 28 to 507 of the family's 1533-position model. The record is from RNAcentral.
GACGAACGCUGGCGGCGUGCCUAAUACAUGCAAGUCGAACGCUGAAGGAGGAGCUUGCUCUUCUGGAUGAGUUGCGAACGGGUGAGUAACGCGUAGGUAACCUGCCUGGUAGCGGGGGAUAACUAUUGGAAACGAUAGCUAAUACCGCAUAACAGUAGAUGUUGCAUGACAUUUGCUUAAAAGGUGCAAUUGCACCACUACCAGAUGGACCUGCGUUGUAUUAGCUAGUUGGUGGGGUAACGGCUCACCAAGGCGACGAUACAUAGCCGACCUGAGAGGGUGAUCGGCCAACCUGGGACUGGGACACGGCCCAGGCUCCUAAGGGAGGCAGCAGUAGGGAAUCUUCGGCAAUGGACGGAAGGCUGAACGAGCAACGCCGCGUGAGUGAAGGAGGUUUUCGGAUCGUAAAGCUCUGUUGUAAGAGAAGAACGAGUGUGAGAGUGGAAAGUUCACACUGUGACGGUACCUUAAGAGAAAGGGACGGCUAACUACGUG